UCGCUUCUCAGCCUUUUGGCUAGGAUCAAGUGUAGUAUCUGUUCUUAUCAGUUUAA
RNAcentral lists this small nuclear RNA (56 nucleotides) under Cervus elaphus hippelaphus. It matches the Rfam family "U2 spliceosomal RNA", at positions 2 to 57 of the family's 192-position model. From Rfam's summary of the family: U2 is a small nuclear RNA (snRNA) component of the spliceosome (involved in pre-mRNA splicing). Complementary binding between U2 snRNA (in an area lying towards the 5' end but 3' to hairpin I) and the branchpoint sequence (BPS) of the intron results the bulging out of an unpaired adenosine, on the BPS, which initiates a nucleophilic attack at the intronic 5' splice site, thus starting the first of two transesterification reactions that mediate splicing. Lineage: Eukaryota; Metazoa; Chordata; Mammalia; Artiodactyla; Cervidae. The record is from RNAcentral.